RNAcentral lists this transfer-messenger RNA (385 nucleotides) under Helicobacter pylori. Its description in RNAcentral is "Standard tmRNA". It matches the Rfam family "transfer-messenger RNA". Rfam says of the family: Bacterial tmRNA, also known as 10Sa RNA or SsrA, is named for its dual tRNA and mRNA-like properties. Its role is to liberate the mRNA from a stalled ribosome. To accomplish this part of the tmRNA is used as a reading frame that ends in a translation stop signal. Lineage: Bacteria; Pseudomonadati; Campylobacterota; Epsilonproteobacteria; Campylobacterales; Helicobacteraceae. The record is from RNAcentral.
GGGGCUGACUUGGAUUUCGACAGAUUUCUUGUCGCACAGAUAGCAUGCCAAGUGCUGCUUGUAAAACAGCAACAAAAAUAACUGUAAACAACGCAGAUUACGCUCCAGCUUACGCUAAAGCUGCGUGAGUUAAUCUCCUUUUGGAGCUGGACUGAUUAGAAUUUCUAGCGUUUUAAUCACUCCAUAACCUUAAGCUAGACGCUUUUAAAAGGUGGUUCGCCUUUUAAACUAAGAAACAAGAACUCUUGAAACUACCUCAAGGUUUUAGAAAGUUGGACCAGAGCUAGUUUUAAGGCUAAAAACUAACCAAUUUUCUAAGCAUUGUAGAAGUUUGUGUUUAGGGCAAGAUUUUUGGACUGGGGUUCGAUUCCCCACAGCUCCACCA